Solanum pennellii is the source of this 223-nucleotide long non-coding RNA. RefSeq lists it as uncharacterized. Lineage: Eukaryota; Viridiplantae; Streptophyta; Magnoliopsida; Solanales; Solanaceae. The record is from RefSeq and is a predicted model, not a curated record. The transcript has 2 exons.
UGCUCCCUAUUGCUUGGGCAGUUGUUGAGGUUGAGAAUCAGUAUCCUGGACAUGGUUUCUUGAACUAGUGAAGAAUGAUCUUGAACUUGGAGAAGGGCAUCAACUAUCCAUCAUUAGUGAUAUGCAAAAGGGACUAGAAAUUGUUGUGGAUACUUUAUUGCCACUUGUUGAACAUAGAAAAUGUGCAAGACAUGUUCUUGCAAAUUGGUCAAAAAAUUGGAAA